CCCCGCACAAGCAGCGGAGCGUGUGGUUUAAUUCGAUGCUACACGAAGAACCUUACCAGGGUUUGACAUGCAAGUGGUAGGAAUCCGAAAGGUGACCGACCCUUCGGGAGCUUGCACAGGUGCUGCAUGGCUGUCGUCAGCUCGUGCCGUGAGAUGUUCGGUUAAGUCCGCUAACGAGCGCAACCCUCGCUGUGUGUUAUAUGUGUCACACGGGACUGCCGGUCUUAAGCCGGAGGAAGGCGGGGAUGAUGUCAAGUCAGCAUGGCCUUUAUAUCCUGGGCUACACACACGCUACAAUGGCCAGCACAGUAGGUUGCUAAGCCGCGAGGUGGAGCCAAUCCAUAAAGCUGGUCUCAGUUCAGAUUGCAGGCUGCAACCCGCCUGCAUGAAGAUGGAGUUGCUAGUAACCGCAGGUCAGCUAUACUGCGGUGAAUACGUUCCCGGGGCUU
This 449-nucleotide ribosomal RNA is filed under the name uncultured Leptolinea sp. RNAcentral's name for it is "bacterial SSU rRNA". It matches the Rfam family "Bacterial small subunit ribosomal RNA", at positions 919 to 1382 of the family's 1533-position model. Lineage: Bacteria; Bacillati; Chloroflexota; Anaerolineae; Anaerolineales; Anaerolineaceae. The record is from RNAcentral.